GACGAACGCUGGCGGCGUGCCUAAUACAUGCAAGUAGAACGCUGAAGGAGGAGCUUGCUUCUCUGGAUGAGUUGCGAACGGGUGAGUAACGCGUAGGUAACCUGCCUGGUAGCGGGGGAUAACUAUUGGAAACGAUAGCUAAUACCGCAUAAGAGUAGAUGUUGCAUGACAUUUGCUUAAAAGUUGCAAUUGCAUCACUACCAGAUGGACCUGCGUUGUAUUAGCUAGUUGGUGGGGUAACGGCUCACCAAGGCGACGAUACAUAGCCGACCUGAGAGGGUGAUCGGCCAAACUGGGACUGAGACACGGCCCAGACUCCUACGGGAGGCAGCAGUAGGGAAUCUUCGGCAAUAGACGGAAGUCUGACCGAGCAACGCCGCGUGAGUGAAGAAGGUUUUCGGAUCGUAAAGCUCUGUUGUAAGAGAAGAACGAGUGUGAGAGUGGAAAGUUCACACUGUGACGGUAUCUUACCAGAAAGGGACGGCUAACUACGUG
This 495-nucleotide ribosomal RNA is filed under the name uncultured bacterium. RNAcentral describes it as "partial 16S ribosomal RNA". It matches the Rfam family "Bacterial small subunit ribosomal RNA", at positions 28 to 507 of the family's 1533-position model. The record is from RNAcentral.